Molecule: non-coding RNA, 72 nt
Organism: Rhizobium yanglingense
Lineage: Bacteria; Pseudomonadati; Pseudomonadota; Alphaproteobacteria; Hyphomicrobiales; Rhizobiaceae
Source: Rfam
GCGGGUGUAGCUCAGGGGUAGAGCACAACCUUGCCAAGGUUGGGGUCGAGGGUUCAAAUCCCUUCGCCCGCU